Molecule: non-coding RNA, 72 nt
Organism: Candidatus Daviesbacteria bacterium
Lineage: Bacteria; Candidatus Daviesiibacteriota
Source: Rfam
GCCGAAGUGGCUCAGUGGUAGAGCAGUACUUUCGUAAAGUACGGGUCGUGGGUUCGAUUCCCACCUUCGGCU